AGAGUUUACAGUCAAAUAGGGGAAGCAGAGAUAUAGUUAAGUAAGGUCAUAUACUGUUUGAUAAGGCAGCAAUAAAAAUAUACGCAAAGAACUUUUUCUUCUUGGUGGUUCACUUCUCUUCCCUGGAAUCAGCUUCUAAAUAAACUACCUACACACAAUUCCUAUCUUAGGCACUGAUUUUCAGAGAGCCUAAAAUAAGCUAGUUGAUAUCAGGAUUAGCUCUAGAAAGUAGACUUUUAGGAUGUGAUUCUAGAACAAUCACUACUCGUCAAAUAGUAAGAAGUACCUAUUGCUGGUAGUAAGUGGAUGAUUCCUCAUGAUAACCUAUGGCAUCCUGAAGGAUCACAGCAAAAAAAAGUCACCUGCUAUAGAUUUGGAUGGGUUACAGAUGGGAGGUGAAGUAGUUGUUCAUGUAAUAGUUCGCACCUGAAUGUUAAGGGGUAUUGGUCAUUCAAAGGAUUAUAGCACUGGCUGUGGAAAUCUUCAAGAAAAAAAACGACAGGCUCAGUUCAGCCAACUGUUAACUCAGAGUAAACCAUAAAAGCCAAAGUUUCUUCAUGGCAGCACUUAAAGAGAUUCUCUUCUCAUGGGGUCACAGAGAAGACUAAGUUGAAAAUCAUGCCUACUCAGUGCCUACUCAUACCUAGUUAGGAGAGCUAAUGAGAGACUGAAUGCACACGUGUGAUGGGUUUCCUAUGCAAAAAUGUGAUUCCUGAUAAGGACUACUUGGGGUGGGAUCAUUUGGUUGGAUGAGAUCUAAAAAGCUUGAAAUUCAAGAUCCUCUAAAGGGGCUAGUGUCGGUAGGCUCUUCCCCUUGGUAUAGGGUGAAAGGAAGCAGUCAUCCCUUCUCAGAAUCUAUUCCUCAAAGACCUGACCUGAGGAUGAUGUCUUGAAAGGAAACACUUGCCACCCUCCUGAGAGCCACCCUCACCUUGCCUCAUUCCUCUAGAAAAGAGCGGUGAAGGCUUGAGGAGCCACCACCCGGUUGGGCCAGCUCGGUCUGCCUCCUGCCUGCAGCUGCCACAGGUCCGGCCGGGGUGCACAAGCAGUUACCCAGAGUUACCCAGGCCAACUCUAAUGGAAGCCAGGCAUCAAGACAACCAGAGUGAUGCACUGUGUCUUGGUGAGCUCCUGGAGCCCAGGUCAGCACAAGAGCAGCCUGUAAGUCAUGAAGAUGUUCACAUCUCUGGAGGCUGGAUUGCAUUUAAACCAUUCCAGAUGGAUGAGGGAAGUGCCUUAGGAGAAGGAAGAAACAAUCCCACAACCCCUCUUAGUAACUCAUCCCCUGUUUGACAAAUCUUGCCACUGGGUCUUUGUAGUUAGUCCCACUUAUCUGCUGCGAUCCCCACCCCCAACUUCUGGUUUCAUCAUUAAUGGAGAUUGGAACCAGCUGGCCUCCCUCUUCUGUGUAAGGGGUUUU
Long non-coding RNA from Felis catus (domestic cat), 1420 nucleotides. RefSeq lists it as uncharacterized. The record is from RefSeq and is a predicted model, not a curated record. The transcript is spliced from 4 exons. Lineage: Eukaryota; Metazoa; Chordata; Mammalia; Carnivora; Felidae.